CAUGCUUUACACAUGCAAGUCGAACGGUAACAGGUCUUCGGAUGCUGACGAGUGGCGAACAGGUGAGUAAUACAUCGGAACGUGCCUAGUAGUGGGGGAUAACUACUCGAAAGAGUAGCUAAUACCGCAUGAGAUCUACGGAUGAAAGCAGGGGACCUUCGGGCCUUGUGCUACUAGAGCGGCUGAUGGCAGAUUAGGUAGUUGGUGGGGUAAAGGCUUACCAAGCCUGCGAUCUGUAGCUGGUCUGAGAGGACGACCAGCCACACUGGGACUGAGACACGGCCCAGACUCCUACGGGAGGCAGCAGUGGGGAAUUUUGGACAAUGGGCGAAAGCCUGAUCCAGCAAUGCCGCGUGCAGGAUGAAGGCCCUCGGGUUGUAAACUGCUUUUGUACGGAACGAAAAGCCUGGGGCUAAUAUCCCCGGGUCAUGACGGUACCGUAAGAAUAAGCACCGGCUAACUACGUGCCAGCAGCCGCGGUAAUACGUAGGGUGCAAGCGUUAAUCGGAAUUACUGGGCGUAAAGCGUGCGCAGGCGGUUUUGUAAGACAGUGGUGAAAUCCCCGGGCUCAACCUGGGAACUGCCAUUGUGACUGCAAGGCUAGAGUGCGGCAGAGGGGGAUGGAAUUCCGCGUGUAGCAGUGAAAUGCGUAGAUAUGCGGAGGAACACCGAUGGCGAAGGCAUCCCCUGGGCUGCACUGACGCUCAUG
Molecule: ribosomal RNA, 709 nt
Filed under: uncultured beta proteobacterium
Lineage: Bacteria; Pseudomonadati; Pseudomonadota; Betaproteobacteria
Description: bacterial SSU rRNA
Rfam family: Bacterial small subunit ribosomal RNA
Source: RNAcentral